This 90-nucleotide transfer RNA is filed under the name Paenirhodobacter populi. Its description in RNAcentral is "Sinirhodobacter sp. 07D10-4-3 tRNA-Ser". It matches the Rfam family "tRNA". From Rfam's summary of the family: Transfer RNA (tRNA) molecules are approximately 80 nucleotides in length. Their secondary structure includes four short double-helical elements and three loops (D, anti-codon, and T loops). Lineage: Bacteria; Pseudomonadati; Pseudomonadota; Alphaproteobacteria; Rhodobacterales. The record is from RNAcentral.
GGAGCAGUGGUCGAGAGGUCUAAGGCAACCGACUUGAAAUCGGUCGGGCCAGAGAUGGUCCCGUGGGUUCGAAUCCCACCUGCUCCGCCA